RNAcentral lists this ribosomal RNA (103 nucleotides) under uncultured Alphaproteobacteria bacterium. RNAcentral describes it as "partial 16S ribosomal RNA". It matches the Rfam family "Bacterial small subunit ribosomal RNA", at positions 401 to 521 of the family's 1533-position model. The record is from RNAcentral. Lineage: Bacteria; Pseudomonadati; Pseudomonadota; Alphaproteobacteria.
GUGAGUGAUGAAGGCCUUUGGGUUGUAAAGCUCUUUUAUCGGGGAGGAAGAUGACGGGACCCGUAGAAGAAGGCCCGGCUAACUCCGUGCCAGCAGCCGCCGG